CACAUGCAAGUCGAACGAGCGAGAGAGAGCUUGCUUUCUCGAGCGAGUGGCGAACGGGUGAGUAACGCGUGAGGAACCUGCCUCAAAGAGGGGGACAACAGUUGGAAACGACUGCUAAUACCGCAUAAGCCCACGGGUCGGCAUCGACCAGAGGGAAAAGGAGCAAUCCGCUUUGAGAUGGCCUCGCGUCCGAUUAGCUAGUUGGUGAGGUAACGGCCCACCAAGGCGACGAUCGGUAGCCGGACUGAGAGGUUGAACGGCCACAUUGGGACUGAGACACGGCCCAGACUCCUACGGGAGGCAGCAGUGGGGAAUAUUGCACAAUGGGGGAAACCCUGAUGCAGCGACGCCGCGUGGAGGAAGAAGGUCUUCGGAUUGUAAACUCCUGUUGUUGAGGAAGAUAAUGACGGUACUCAACAAGGAAGUGACGGCUAACUACGUGCCAGCAGCCGCGGUAAAACGUAGGUCACAAGCGUUGUCCGGAAUUACUGGGUGUAAAGGGAGCGCAGGCGGGAAGACAAGUUGGAAGUGAAAUCCAUGGGCUCAACCCAUGAACUGCUUUCAAAACUGUUUUUCUUGAGUAGUGCAGAGGUAGGCGGAAUUCCCGGUGUAGCGGUGGAAUGCGUAGAUAUCGGGAGGAACACCAGUGGCGAAGGCGGCCUACUGGGCACCAACUGACGCUGAGGCUCGAAAGUGUGGGUAGCAAACAGGAUUAGAUACCCUGGUAGUCCACACCGUA
RNAcentral lists this ribosomal RNA (739 nucleotides) under uncultured bacterium. RNAcentral describes it as "bacterial SSU rRNA". It matches the Rfam family "Bacterial small subunit ribosomal RNA", at positions 52 to 804 of the family's 1533-position model. The record is from RNAcentral.